Molecule: long non-coding RNA, 1166 nt
Organism: Anneissia japonica
Lineage: Eukaryota; Metazoa; Echinodermata; Crinoidea; Comatulida; Comatulidae
Exons: 2
Source: RefSeq, a predicted model, not a curated record
GGCAGACAAGCAAGCAAGCCAAGGUGUCCAUAGUGUCCACAGGGCCAGGCCUGUUCAACAACAACUCGUACUCCACGGUUAUAGCAAUGGCAGCUACUAUGCAUUCGGCUCAAAAGCCGUCUGACCCGGAAGCUCUGAUGUUAUUUUUACACAAGCCGCAUUUAAUUUUGAAACAAAAAAUGUGUAAGGAUUUAAAAUUUCAAUUUUUAUCCAGAUUAAAUAUAACAUUACACUUUUGAAAUGGAGAGGAUAAUCAAUCCCACCCUCCCACCGACGGCCUCCCUCCCCCCGCUGUCUUAGCGGCCGCCGGUGGGAUUGUGGAUGGAGACCCAGCAGAAAGGAAAAGAAAAACAAAAUUGGCGGAUGAACGCCUCGGAACCAACAGCCAAACAUGCUUUAGUUUAAGGAGUAUGUUUUUGUUUCUUAGGACUACAUCAAUUUUUUUUUUCAAAAUGCAAUAGUCAAAGAGCUCAAUCACCAAGCGCAUAGAACCUUUUUUUUGUAUGAUGCACUAUACAAAUCCAACUAUUAUCUAUUAUUAUUAAUUAUAUUAUCUAAAACUUUCAUUGAAGUGUUGGGGUAGGGUGUUUGGGCUCGCUGGCUGUAUUAUUUUUCUACUAAAUAUUAUGCAGGAAACAUUUAUUUUGAUUAUAAUUAUUAAGGCCUAUUUAUUGUGCCCCUAAUGGGCAGCUUUUUUUUUUCUUUUGCCAACAUUGGAUAGGCUUUUUUUUGAUAUGGACUUCUUUUCGAGAUGGAUGGACAUCUUUUCGAGGCUACAUAGAGGUGUUUGAGCUUCUUUUUAAUUUAUUGUGUAACGUUUUAUUCAAUAAUGAAAAUACCUUUAACACAGAAUAGUGUGGGAAGAAAAGAGCUAAUAAGGAAACAAACACUUUAAACUUUACCUGAUCACAAAGGAAGGAUGCCCACGGCACAAAUCCGAUUGUUCAUUCCCUUUAGAUUAUUUCAAUUUAUUUAUAUAUUUUCUAAUUUACUUUUUCUAAUUUACCCUUGCUUCUUUUUAAAAUGAAUGCUGUAAAGUUUUUGGAAUAGCUACUAUAAAACAAUGAGUGUAUUAACUGGCAUUAAAUCACCUAAACUACUGCAUAAACCAAGCAUGUUGUAAUAUUUUUUUUUUUUUUUUUGCCUUGGAAUUCAUGUACAGUGUA